UAGAAAAUAUGUAAACACACCUCUCUGAAUGAUUUGUGAUUCCAUACCUUCAUCGGAUCCAAAAAGGGUCUUAAGGUUCUCAUAUUUAUUUAUCUUUCGGCUUUAUAAAAUGAAAGAAGAUCCGUAUCACUUAAGAUCGGGAGAAUCUUUUUCUUUAUUUACAUUUUAUUGCCACUUCAUGUUGCUUAAUGCAUAUUUCUUUAUGUUAUUAAAUCUGGCCAUAAUCAGUGCCAAUAUUUAUACUCAGCUAUGUUUUUCUAUUUAUAUUAUUCAUCUCGGUUCUAGAGUUCAUUAGCUUUAACUAUGAUUUCUCCUUUCAUUUUCUUUGAUUGAUUUGUUCAAAAAGGUUCCGAUAUAUUUUGGGUCAAGAAAUUUGUCAAUGUUUGUCAGAAUCUUCUAAUUAAAAUUUUAGUUUACUGUAGAUCCAAAAUUCAAUUUCAACUAUAGAGCGUCUUCAGAGAAUCCAAACAAAUUUGAUACACUGAAUACUUUUUGUAUUUGAUGCUUGUGCAAAUGAGAUACUGAAGAGAAUUAUAUAUUAAAAAUUACGUUAGCUAAGGGUUUGUUGCCUUAAUUUUUUGGGCAAUUAGCACACAAGUAUCAUGAAAUGCUGUUACUCCUACGCAUUUAAAGAUUGUGAUUUUUUGAUAGCGAGUGCAUUCGAUUAGGCUAAAAAUAUGCUAGAUUUUUUAUCUCUUAUACAAAAAAAAGUGAGGAAGCUAGUUCUAGCACAAUAUACUUCUAAUUUGUUGCCAUCAUACUUUAGACAUUAUUAAUUUCCGGCGUGUAAGAACGAGAAACAAAGACACUUUUAUGUGACUUCUUGCAUUAUCAAGGAGACGGCGGGAUUUUUAUAAAGAGAAGCAGAGGUUAAAUAUCCUACUAAUCAAUUCUUUGAGUUCUCUUUGCAAAGAUGAAAGGAUGAUUUCCUUCCAUAUAUGAGUGGUUAUUUGUGAAUGACAAUGAAAAUUUUUACUGUUUUUUUAGUCCUCAGCCAUUUUAAAUGAUGUGAAAGGAAACCCUGACAAACGUUAAUGAAACAAAGCUUAACAAUAACACACAUUUCUAUUAUUUCAUUAAUGCUCUCCACUUUUCACUUUUUUCUAUUAAGUGCACCCUAUUACUGCUCAUAACAAUUGAUGUUUUUUUUGCAAAUUUUAGUUUAUUCUUUCUUUACAGUGACCUAAUAUUACACUUGUCAGCUAAAUUACCACGGUUGAGAGUUGUGGUUUUGCAGAGUGAUGUCCUUUCAGGCCUUCGUGUGAUUUGUCAUGCCAACUUUACUUUUUUGCUUUGACAUUUACAAGGAGUGAAACUAGUUCUCAAGUAUGGAUCACGGCAAAUCAUCCUCCGAUAUUGCUCACAACCCAUCGUCAACCAAGUCACAUGUACUUUCCAAAUAAAAGAACGAAGGCUACAAAAAUAUGAGGUAGGAAUUCAUGAGCUACUAUCCAAGUUUGACGAGUGUCAACUCGACCAGAUACCCCGAGCAUAAAAAGGCCUUGACAAAUAGGUAGCAGCUACUGAAAGCAUAAUCGAAGAAGGGAAUAUGAUCAAACUGAGGUAACGUAGGGUUGUGCAUUCGAUUUAUCGAUUCGAAUUUGACCCUUAUCGAUAAUUACUUAUCGAUUAUCAAUUUGUACAUAUGCUUAUCGUUAUCAUUUCAGUAAGAUUUUGAUUUUUUCGAUUUCGAUUUUCUCGAUUUUGAUAAUAAAUAAUCAAUUCCUAGGUUUGUGGAUAAGUUGUAUGUUAUAUUAAUCUACACAAAUAGGUAAUUACUUAUUUUACCAAUGUCUACAGUCUAGGGUUGUGCAUUCGAUUUAUCGAUUCGAAUUUGACCCUUAUCGAUAAUUACUUAUCGAUUAUCAAUUUGUACAUAUGCUUAUCGUUAUCGUUUCAAUAAGAUUUUUAUUUUUUCGAUUU
Molecule: long non-coding RNA, 1923 nt
Filed under: Nicotiana benthamiana
Lineage: Eukaryota; Viridiplantae; Streptophyta; Magnoliopsida; Solanales; Solanaceae
Description: long non-coding RNA (NBEN_LNC013692)
Source: RNAcentral